UACGUAGGGUGCAAGCGUUGUCCGGAAUUAUUGGGCGUAAAGAGCUCGUAGGCGGCUCGUUGCGUCGGCUGUGAAAACCCGCAGCUCAACUGUGGGCUUGCAGCCGAUACGGGCGGGCUGGAGUUCGGUAGGGGAGACUGGAAUUCCUGGUGUAGCGGUGAAAUGCGCAGAUAUCAGGAGGAACACCGGUGGCGAAGGCGGGUCUCUGGGCCGAUACUGACGCUGAGGAGCGAAAGCGUGGGGAGCGAACAGG
Molecule: ribosomal RNA, 253 nt
Filed under: uncultured bacterium
Lineage: Bacteria
Description: partial 16S ribosomal RNA
Rfam family: Bacterial small subunit ribosomal RNA
Source: RNAcentral